Molecule: ribosomal RNA, 271 nt
Filed under: uncultured bacterium
Lineage: Bacteria
Description: partial 16S ribosomal RNA
Rfam family: Bacterial small subunit ribosomal RNA
Source: RNAcentral
UCUACGUCGGCGACCGGCGCACGGGUGCGUAACGCGUAUGCAACCUACCCAUUACAGGGGGAUAACACUGAGAAAUCGGUACUAAUACCCCAUAACAUCCAGGGAGGCAUCUUCUUGGGUUGAAAACUCCGGUGGUAAUGGAUGGGCAUGCGUUGUAUUAGUUAGUUGGUAGGGUAACGGCUCACCAAGACAACGAUACAUAGGGGGACUGAGAGGUUAACCCCCCACAUUGGUACUGAGACACGGACCAAACUCCUACGGAAGGCAGCAG